RNAcentral lists this ribosomal RNA (446 nucleotides) under uncultured bacterium. RNAcentral describes it as "partial 16S ribosomal RNA". It matches the Rfam family "Bacterial small subunit ribosomal RNA", at positions 338 to 795 of the family's 1533-position model. The record is from RNAcentral.
CCUACGGGUGGCAGCAGUCGAGAAUCAUUCACAAUGGGGGAAACCCUGAUGGUGCGACGCCGCGUGGGGGAAUGAAGGUCUUCGGAUUGUAAACCCCUGUCAUGUGGGAGCAAAUUAAAAAGAUAGUACCACAAGAGGAAGAGACGGCUAACUCUGUGCCAGCAGCCGCGGUAAUACAGAGGUCUCAAGCGUUGUUCGGAAUCACUGGGCGUAAAGCGUGCGUAGGCUGUUUCGUAAGUCGUGUGUGAAAGGCGCGGGCUCAACCCGCGGACGGCACAUGAUACUGCGGGACUGGAGUGAUGGAGAGGGAACCGGAAUUCUCGGUGUAGCAGUGAAAUGCGUAGAUAUCGAGAGGAACACUCGUGGCGAAGGCGGGUUCCUGGACAUUAACUGACGCUGAGGCACGAAGGCCAGGGGAGCGAAAGGGAUUAGAUACCCGGGUAGUC